UCUCUUCAGUUUGGGGUCUCAAGACAGAUAAUAAAUACUUGAUAGAUUGAGUCAGGUGUACAUUCAGCAUCAUUUACCUAGGGUCUCUAGUACCAGGCACUGAACUAUGGAUGGAAAGAUUAAAGACUCUUCCCUCUUUCACAGAAUUCCAAAUUCCAGGCAAGCAAGCUGAUUGGCCAAGUUACAGUGCAAUGUGAUUGGUAUUGUAAAAACAAGGUUCUGGAGAGAAGCCCGGGUGAAGAGAGUUCUUUGGGAAGGAUUCACUGAGAAAGUCACUCCUGAGCCAGCCCAGUCUUGAAAAAUGAGGGGAGACCAGAGUUUGCCAACAGUAAUGUGUAUCGUGAAACCCAACACCCUGGUGUCCUUAGCCUUGCUAACCAUUUGUCUGAAGCCACGACUUACUGGACAGAAGGACCAUGUAGCCACUGAGGCUUGAAGAAGCUGGCGGUGGAGGCUGAACAAUAUACCUGUAUUUUUAUUUCUGUGAAACUAUUCUUGUCCUCCCUUCUCUUUCCUUGAAAAACACAUAUAUGCUCAUCCACUCCCUCCCUGCCCUGCCACACACAGUAGAGAAAAGGAGGGAUAGCUGCUCAAAUUGUUUGAGCUUAAUUCAACAGAAUUAAAUUAAUUCUAC
Molecule: long non-coding RNA, 634 nt
Filed under: Zalophus californianus (California sea lion)
Lineage: Eukaryota; Metazoa; Chordata; Mammalia; Carnivora; Otariidae
Description: lncRNA (ENSZCAG00015009013.1)
Source: RNAcentral